UCCAUCGUGAGAUGGAAUCUGAAGGAAGUCGGCGGCAAAGCCUUGGUCUGAGGUACACGAAUUACAUUUGAGGCUCAAAGCUACGGGUAAACUUGCAAAACAAAGUAAAGCCCUAUAACUAUCCGAAGUAGCUUGAGUAAAUGUAGCAGAUGGAUGAGGUGAAAGUGCGUGUU
Molecule: non-coding RNA, 173 nt
Organism: Clostridium saccharoperbutylacetonicum N1-4(HMT)
Lineage: Bacteria; Bacillati; Bacillota; Clostridia; Eubacteriales; Clostridiaceae
Source: Rfam